UCCCCACUCACAACCCAAGAAACUCUGCUGUCUGUAGUGGUUAUUUAAACAGUGGUGUGCACAGCAAGGAUCUUCCACAGUC
Small nucleolar RNA from Cricetulus griseus (Chinese hamster), 82 nucleotides. Lineage: Eukaryota; Metazoa; Chordata; Mammalia; Rodentia; Cricetidae. The record is from Ensembl.